AGUGAACGCUGGCGGUAGGCCUAACACAUGCAAGUCGAACGGCAGCACAGUAAGAGCUUGCUCUUACGGGUGGCGAGUGGCGGACGGGUGAGGAAUACAUCGGAAUCUACUUUUUCGUGGGGGAUAACGUAGGGAAACUUACGCUAAUACCGCAUACGACCUACGGGUGAAAGCAGGGGAUCUUCGGACCUUGCGCGAUUGAAUGAGCCGAUGUCGGAUUAGCUAGUUGGCGGGGUAAAGGCCCACCAAGGCGACGAUCCGUAGCCGGUCUGAGAGGAUGAUCAGCCACACUGGAACUGAGACACGGUCCAGACUCCGACGGGGGGAAGCAGUGGGGAAUAUUGGACGAUGGGCGCAAGCCUGAUCCAGCCAUACCGCGUGGGUGAAGAAGGCCUUCGGGUUGUAAAGCCCUUUUGUUGGGAAAGAAAAGCAGCAGGUUAAUACCCCGCUGUUCUGACGGUACCCAAAGAAUAAGCACCGGCUAACUUCGUG
RNAcentral lists this ribosomal RNA (492 nucleotides) under uncultured bacterium. RNAcentral describes it as "partial 16S ribosomal RNA". It matches the Rfam family "Bacterial small subunit ribosomal RNA", at positions 29 to 507 of the family's 1533-position model. The record is from RNAcentral.